CAGUGUCAUCCACUCGUUAUAGAAAAAAGUUAGUCUGUGUUAACCAAUGGCAUGUAAAUACCGGCGCUGAUUAUGAAGGAAUUAACGCUCUUAGAACCACUCUGGGCGUUAUACAUGCCUGUUACCAAGACUGUAAUCCGGUGGGGACAUCGGAGAAACGCCCUGGAAGCCAGUAGAGAUGAAUUACCCAGCCACAUCGACCAGCUGCACCCAGACACUCAACACGGGUGACUUAAGGACAGAAGACUCAACAGGGUCGACAGAGUGCUUUCAUUCCCCUAAGUGUCUGGGUUCCUCAGCAUUUUCAUAAUUGUUCCAUUAUACACCCACUAGAAUCAAACAAUAAAAACUCAGUUCUUGCA
Long non-coding RNA from Brienomyrus brachyistius, 362 nucleotides. RefSeq lists it as uncharacterized. The record is from RefSeq and is a predicted model, not a curated record. Lineage: Eukaryota; Metazoa; Chordata; Actinopteri; Osteoglossiformes; Mormyridae. The transcript is spliced from 2 exons.